Molecule: ribosomal RNA, 304 nt
Filed under: Bolyphantes alticeps
Lineage: Eukaryota; Metazoa; Arthropoda; Arachnida; Araneae; Linyphiidae
Description: eukaryotic LSU rRNA
Rfam family: Eukaryotic large subunit ribosomal RNA
Source: RNAcentral
AUAACAUGUGUGCGAGUCAAUGGGUCUCGAAUAAGCCCAGAGGCGCAAUGAAAGCGAAGGCCGGAGGACUCCGGCCGUGUCGGGAUCCCCGCUCCUUUGAGUGUGCGGGGCGCACCGAAGACCCGCCCUGAUCCGCUCGCGGAUGAUGUGGAGUUUGAGCGCACACGUUGUGACCCGAAAGAUGGUGAACUAUGCCCGGACAGGACGAGGCCAGAGGAAACUCUGGUGGAGGUCCGUAGCGGUUCUGACGUGCAAAUCGAUCGUCAGAUCUGGGUCUAGGGGCGAAAGACUAAUCGAACCAUCU